UACAAAUAAAAUUUUAAUUUAAUACAUGAUUUAUAUUUUAAUUUAAUCUAAAGUUUAAAUACAUGUAAAUAUCAAUUGAUCGAGUUGGAUCAUACUCAUCGGAUACAGCAUCAUUUUAAUUAUUAUAUACUUAUAAUACACAGAGAGUAUAGACACUAGAUAAUUAGAUAAGAAUUUAUAGUUUCCAUCCUAUGAUCUUGAUCCAUAUCUACACCUCUGUACAAAUUGAAAAUUAUAUCUUAAGCAUCCUAUAGAAACAAAGAUAUAAAUCUCCAUAAUUGAAUUUUGAACCUUUCAAUAUGAAGCUGGAGUCCAAUACUCUGCAUGUGAGAGAUGUUAAGACGCUUUGCGUCAACUCUCAAAAUUUACAACUCAUCAAGAACUCGUUCAUAUUGCAUCCUUGGGCACAUUACCCACUCGAUUAUUGUUCUUCACUUUGGCCAAAGUUGGAAUUCUUCAGUGUUUUUGACUCCAAUUAGAGAAAACUCUUUCAAAAGCAGAUCAACACACCCGGGUAAAGAGUCCUUAAAACCCUUUGAACAGCCCUUGUCACCCUCAUCAACAUCCUGAACCCCACCUUUGACCAGACACCCCACCUGAGCACCAUCCGCAUAUGCUUUACAUGCCACCAGAAUGUCAUUAGCAUACUUGUGGAAAUGGCCCAUAACAAAGUCCUCAAAAUGCUUUGGUGGCCUCCUCAUAGCAUAAACCAUUGUCUUAAGAGAUAACAUAAACGUCUUCUCAUUGUACUGCUGAGAUUUUAUUUCACCAUUUGGUGAACCACUCAAAUAUUCGUAACCAGGCUCAUUAAAAAAGGGCUUUUGAUUCAAUAUCAGUGCUUGUAUGGAGACCAGAACUUGUAGCACAGUCGACACACCAGGAAGCCACUUCUCAUUCUUGUUACCAUGCCAGGUGCCAAGAAGGCUCAGGCAAACCUUCCCAGAACUGUACAAGUUUGGGUUAAGUUGAAGACCACCAGAAUGAUAGUAGACAAGCGGUGGUACGUUGGGAUAACCACUAGGGAAGAAAACAUCAAAAAAGAAGAGACCAUCAUGAUAAGGAGUACUCUCGGCUCCAAUAAUGACAGCCCUCAAUAGGUCCAUCCUCGAUUCAUAAACCCUAACAAAUAUAGUAUCUGUUGACAUGAUAAAAUUGGGACCCAAAAAUCAAUAAUGAGAUAAAACAAAACUUCAAUAGGAAAAAUUGGUAGUUCUGCUUCAGCAAUGAACAGACACCUAAUGAACAUAUUCUUUUUUACCCAUUUUCUUUUUUUUUAAUGCAUUAUAUUAUAUGAAAACAGUAAGGAGCAGAUAGUGGCUACCAAAGUCAUUAUUGCGUCUACUUAGUUACACAGUUAGUUUAGGAGGCUCACAAACACUUCACAAAUGCCUAAACACAACUACAUGUUAUGGUUCCAACAAAGACCUAAGUGAACUGCAUUGCAUAAUUUAUGGUUAAAAAAUUAUUAUACAAUUUAUAAAUAAAUUUUCUCAUCAGGGACCUCCUCUCUCAUCAAAAUGACCUAAUAGAGAUAGAAAGAGUAAAGCUCACUGAUCUUAGCCAAAAAUUAAAAAAUAAAAAAGAAAGCUUCUUGUCACCUGCAAGAAAGAAAUUUGAAUGCUGUGCAUGGCAAAAACCUAUUCUACAACUGGCAGCUAUUUGGCAUUUCCAUAACAUUUGAAAAUUCUAAUAGUUAUUAGAAUUCUGAAGUUCAGAACAAUAAUAACAAUAAAAAGAUAAAUCAAGAGGGAAAAAUUGUAGCAUUGACAUGUAAAUUAGUGUAAACAUAAUUAUAGAAAUAGUUUUCUUUAUUCUUCUGUUAUUACGUAUGGCUUCUUUCCUUUUCAUUAGUAUAUUUUAAGCAUAAUUAAGAAGCUCCAGCUCCCAUCUGUGUAGCACUUAGGAACCUAAACUAACAUUAAAAUACCAAACAGAAAAAACAUAAUCCAAAGGAAGCCUACCAGAGAAAAUAUCAUUUAGAUAUUCUUAAGAAGAUUCAGGCAUUCAGAUUCCUAACUGUUUUGAACAUGGUUUACUGAUACAUACCCAUAAAGCCAAUUCUUAAUUUCAAUUCCAAAUAUUCACAUGGUCUCACAACCAAUAUAUUCAUCAGAAAACAAUUCAUCUGAAGAAAGGAUGGGAGACCUUGGAAAAGAUUGUCAAUCCUGUGUGGAAAACGAAAGCAUGGAACUUACCUGGCAAAUCAUUCUCCAGGAUUUUCCAUUCCUCCUGAACUCUCUUGGACCAAUUCUUGGGUGGCUGCUUAGUUGAAGAACCUUUAGAAACAUAGCGAUGAUCUGAAUGAUCUUCAACAGUAUCAAACUUCUUAAAAAGUUGGUAUUUCCCUAGAAUAUCAUUUUCAUCUACAUUCUUUGGAGUUCUGGUAACACCUUCUUCAGGGGGAAUAUAUGCAGCAUGAAAUGGAUCAUAGAAAUCUGAGUGACUUGUAUGGUUAGUGUUUGAAGAUUUGAAUUUAGAUGUGAACCAAGAUAUAGAUGGGCCUACUACAGAAUGGUGAUUCAAUCCAUCCACAUUUGCAGGAAAGUUUGGACAAAUAAGAUUAUUUGUGCCAUCUUGGUUGUUUAGAUUAAAUGGAGUAUAGUGUCCCCAGUGUGAUGGUUCAACGCCAUGAGGAAUUGUUGCCUUGGGCGAUUGGUUUACAGAACUAUAAUUAUUUGAACUACUUGACGUAACUGGUAUCUUUUUCCUCUGUAGGUUAUGAGCAGGAUCCAGAAUCCAAGGAACAGGAGCCUCCACUCCAGGAGGAAUAUCCACAUCGUAAAAGUGGGCAUCUAAAAAUGCAUGAUCAUCAAAAUCCAUGGAAUCAUCAGAAAUGAAAUCCAUAUAGUCACUGUCAUAUAACAAAUCAGAACCACCAUCUAUGUUGAUUGUUUUAUGUGAUCCUGGAGCAGAGUUUUCAGAAGGACAGAAAAGAUAACUGACCAAACCGUCCGUAGCUUGAUAGUAACCUUCAGAACUAUCUUCUACAGCUAUCCCUUUAUCUUUUGUGUCAACUUUCUCAUCAAGGAUCAUAACAUCAGGGGAAUCUUCAUCAUUGUCAACAUCAAUAACUUCACGAAGUAUAACCUAGAAAAAAUUGUUUCUUUAAAUUAUACAACAACUGGUUGAUAAAAAGAAACUAGCAAAGGGAAAAGUUUGUAAAUUGCGCAUAAGAAGCAAGGCUUAAAACCCAGGGCCAAUGCCGUUCCAAAUCCUUAGGCAUCAUGCAUUCAGUAAGCUCACAACUAUCUAAAAAUGGUUAGAGCUUGAGGAGAUAAAAGCCACAACUCAAGCAUGAACUGUUAGAUCUACUUAUUUGUAAAUCAUUGCAGCAUGAACUAUUAGAUGCUUUCAACUCCAGGGUGGAAGAAAAUAAAUUACUACCAGGGGGCACUCUUGGUACUCGUAUAAAGGCCAAAAACCAUUUUUUAUUUUAUUUUUCCCUACCUUAUUCCCUCCUAUACAUCAGUUUUAGAACUUUUAUUCUGUUUUCUUCCACUUAAGCCUUCCAGAAUAAUAACAUUUUCACAUCAAAACACUUGACUUGCUCAGUCACAAGAGAUACUUCAAUAGCUUUUUAAGAAAAAUAAUGUAUUAAUUUGGUCUUUUUAGUUGUUUGGCUAUUAUUCAUCUCAAAAUUCAAACAUAUACAAAAUUAUUACAUCAACAAGAUUACUCCUUGUUUGUUUGAAUUCUUGUUUAAAAUUAAUUUGAAUCAUUUGAGACUUUUAUUUUAUAUAAAAACUGAUAGUAGCACUACUGCAUUCGGCAAUAUAGUCUGAUAAUGAUACCUUGUAUCAUGAACGCCAUCAGCUACACCAAAUAUGAACAAUUUGUCAAUUUCAAAUAGCAGCACAAAACCCAAGAUGUUAACAUCAGGCAAAUUAUAACUCGUAGUUUAAUUUGUGAAGUUACAGAUCAGCAGAAGUGUCUACAUCACUUCAUAAAAUUGAUUUUACAAAUUGUACCAAUCUAAGAAAAAAGAAGCUGUCCUUAACCAGCUCAGGCCCCAGGGUUAUAUAUUUCAGUCCAAAUGGCCAAACAUAAUACUUAUCUCGCAACAGGAACUAAGGAUAUUUAAAAUCCAACAUGUAGGACAAUAGAGGGAACUCUCUAUUCUACAAAAGAUGGCUACAUUUAGGCAUGAUAUAAGGCUAGGCUAGAUUGCCAGUAAAUAAGUAUUUUUAGGCCCCAAUUCAAUUGGAAACCUGAUCACAGUGAUAUCUAAAACAUACAUCAGAGCACAUAAACGAAGUAGAAUUUCAGAAAUCUACCAGAUAGCCACUAUUCAGAUUGCAGAAUAGUGAAAUAGAAAUCUAAAUCCCAUUGCAUUAGGAUUCUUAAUGUCUGGUUGGAAUUCAGCUUGGGGGUGUUCUCAGGAACUGCUUUUGAACUCUCUUCUUUUUUUUCCGAGAUGCAACAGCAGGUUAAUGCCAAAACACAUAUACAUACAAAGGAUUAUUGAAUAUACCAACUUCUGGGACUGUUUACAUUGACUCAGAUUGUGGUAGCUCUUGCAUGAUAUGUACUUAAGAAGUAAACAACUAGAUAAAACAUACCCUUCACACCACUAAAACCCAAAAAAAAAUCUUCAACAAUUUCAGCAACGGGUAACAAAAUCCUAUAAAAAGCACAAUAAUGCAAAAGAAUCCUACUUUUAGCCAAACUAAGGUAUAUAUAUAUAUAUAAAAAAAAAGGCACAAACAAAAUAUUAUUAAAGAAAUAGAAAGGACAAAGUUGAAAGAAAAGGAAUUCAAUUAUAGAAUCAAUCAAUAGAGAUUAACAGUAACGAUAGGCAUUAGAUACAAUAAUCCAUGAAUAAAGCGACGAUUACAGAAGAGAACGAUCGAUCAUUCCUGGACUUUAAAAAAAGAGCUCUUUUUUUUUUUUAAAGAUUGUUCAGGGAAAGACCUGUUUGAGUUUAUUCUGUUUGUUAGCGCGAGAAACUGGAGGCGCGAUUUCGAUCACGUCGGGGUCCAUCAACAGCUGCUUCCUGCUUCCAGAGACAACGACGGGGACAGAGCGAGAAAGACUGAGAGAGAGACUUCAAAGAAAGGUUUAAGAAAUAGAGAAUUUUGAGAGAGAGCAUGUGUGGCAGAAAUGCUUGGGUGGGGCUGCGGCUCCUGCAUGGAAGAUGGAUCGGCU
Molecule: unclassified non-coding RNA, 5145 nt
Filed under: Hevea brasiliensis (rubber tree)
Lineage: Eukaryota; Viridiplantae; Streptophyta; Magnoliopsida; Malpighiales; Euphorbiaceae
Source: RNAcentral